RNAcentral lists this ribosomal RNA (2377 nucleotides) under Serratia entomophila. RNAcentral describes it as "23S ribosomal RNA". It matches the Rfam family "Bacterial large subunit ribosomal RNA". The record is from RNAcentral. Lineage: Bacteria; Pseudomonadati; Pseudomonadota; Gammaproteobacteria; Enterobacterales; Yersiniaceae.
UUAAGUGACUAAGCGUACACGGUGGAUGCCUAGGCAGUCAGAGGCGAUGAAGGGCGUGCUAAUCUGCGAAAAGCGUCGGUAAGGUGAUAUGAACCGUUAUAACCGGCGAUACCCGAAUGGGGAAACCCAGUGCAAUUCGUUGCACUAUCGUUAAGUGAAUACAUAGCUUAACGAGGCGAACCGGGGGAACUGAAACAUCUAAGUACCCCGAGGAAAAGAAAUCAACCGAGAUUCCCCCAGUAGCGGCGAGCGAACGGGGAGGAGCCCAGAACCUGAANNNNNNNNNNNNNNNNNNNNNNNNNNNNNNNNNNNNNNNUAGUUGCAAGGUAUAGACCCGAAACCCGGUGAUCUAGCCAUGGGCAGGUUGAAGGUUGGGUAACACUAACUGGAGGACCGAACCGACUAAUGUUGAAAAAUUAGCGGAUGACUUGUGGCUGGGGGUGAAAGGCCAAUCAAACCGGGAGAUAGCUGGUUCUCCCCGAAAGCUAUUUAGGUAGCGCCUCGUGAACUCAUCUUCGGGGGUAGAGCACUGUUUCGGCUAGGGGGCCAUCCCGGCUUACCAAACCGAUGCAAACUCCGAAUACCGAAGAAUGUUAUCACGGGAGACACACGGCGGGUGCUAACGUCCGUCGUGAAGAGGGAAACAACCCAGACCGCCAGCUAAGGUCCCAAAGUCAUGGUUAAGUGGGAAACGAUGUGGGAAGGCAUAGACAGCCAGGAUGUUGGCUUAGAAGCAGCCAUCAUUUAAAGAAAGCGUAAUAGCUCACUGGUCGAGUCGGCCUGCGCGGAAGAUGUAACGGGGCUAAACCAUGCACCGAAGCUGCGGCAGCGACGCUUAGGCGUUGUUGGGUAGGGGAGCGUUCUGUAAGCCGUUGAAGGUGGCCUGUGAGGGUUGCUGGAGGUAUCAGAAGUGCGAAUGCUGACAUAAGUAACGAUAAAGCGGGUGAAAAGCCCGCUCGCCGGAAGACCAAGGGUUCCUGUCCAACGUUAAUCGGGGCAGGGUGAGUCGACCCCUAAGGCGAGGCCGAAAGGCGUAGUCGAUGGGAAACAGGUUAAUAUUCCUGUACUCGGUGUUACUGCGAAGGGGGGACGGAGAAGGCUAGGCUAGCCGGGCGACGGUUGUCCCGGUUUAAGCGUGUAGGGGGAGUGACCCGGUAAAUCCGGUUGCUUAUUCAACCCUGAGGCGUGAUGACGAUGCACNGCGGAUGGAGCUGAAGCCAGUCGCAGAUACCAGCUGGCUGCAACUGUUUAAUAAAAACACAGCACUGUGCAAACACGAAAGUGGACGUAUACGGUGUGACGCCUGCCCGGUGCUGGAAGGUUAAUUGAUGGGGUCAGCCGCAAGGCGAAGCUCUUGAUCGAAGCCCCAGUAAACGGCGGCCGUAACUAUAACGGUCCUAAGGUAGCGAAAUUCCUUGUCGGGUAAGUUCCGACCUGCACGAAUGGCGUAAUGAUGGCCAGGCUGUCUCCACCCGAGACUCAGUGAAAUUGAACUCGCUGUGAAGAUGCAGUGUACCCGCGGCAAGACGGAAAGACCCCGUGAACCUUUACUAUAGCUUGACACUGAACAUUGAGCCUUGAUGUGUAGGAUAGGUGGGAGGCUUUGAAGCGUGGACGCCAGUCUGCGUGGAGCCAACCUUGAAAUACCACCCUUUAAUGUUUGAUGUUCUAACUCGGCCCCAUAAUCUGGGGUGAGGACAGUGUCUGGUGGGUAGUUUGACUGGGGCGGUCUCCUCCCAAAGAGUAACGGAGGAGCACGAAGGUUAGCUAAUCACGGUCGGACAUCGUGAGGUUAGUGCAAAGGCAUAAGCUAGCUUGACUGCGAGAGUGACGGCUCGAGCAGGUACGAAAGUAGGUCUUAGUGAUCCGGUGGUUCUGAAUGGAAGGGCCAUCGCUCAACGGAUAAAAGGUACUCCGGGGAUAACAGGCUGAUACCGCCCAAGAGUUCAUAUCGACGGCGGUGUUUGGCACCUCGAUGUCGGCUCAUCACAUCCUGGGGCUGAAGUAGGUCCCAAGGGUAUGGCUGUUCGCCAUUUAAAGUGGUACGCGAGCUGGGUUUAGAACGUCGUGAGACAGUUCGGUCCCUAUCUGCCGUGGGCGUUGGAAGAUUGAGAGGGGUUGCUCCUAGUACGAGAGGACCGGAGUGAACGCACCACUGGUGUUCGGGUUGUCAUGCCAAUGGCACUGCCCGGUAGCUAAGUGCGGAAAAGAUAAGCGCUGAAAGCAUCUAAGCGCGAAACUUGCCUCGAGAUGAGUCUUCCCUGGGCCUUUAAGGCCCCUGAAGGAACGUUUAAGACUAAGACGUUGAUAGGCUGGGUGUGUAAGUGCAGCGAUGCAUUGAGCUAACCAGUACUAAUGAUCCGUGAGGCUUAACCUU